UACAACUUUCAACAACGGAUCUCUUGGUUCUGGCAUCGAUGAAGAACGCAGCGAAAUGCGAUACGUAGUGUGAAUUGCAGAAUUCAGCGAAUCAUCGAAUCUUUGAACGCACAUUGCGCCCUUUGGUAUUCCAAAGGGCAUGCCUGUUCGAGCGUC
This 156-nucleotide ribosomal RNA is filed under the name Alternaria sp. 02MIN3S2. RNAcentral's name for it is "5.8S ribosomal RNA". It matches the Rfam family "5.8S ribosomal RNA". From Rfam's summary of the family: 5.8S ribosomal RNA (5.8S rRNA) is a component of the large subunit of the eukaryotic ribosome. It is transcribed by RNA polymerase I as part of the 45S precursor that also contains 18S and 28S rRNA. The record is from RNAcentral. Lineage: Eukaryota; Fungi; Ascomycota; Dothideomycetes; Pleosporales; Pleosporaceae.